RNAcentral lists this long non-coding RNA (309 nucleotides) under Ananas comosus (pineapple). RNAcentral's name for it is "long non-coding RNA (ACOM_LNC035254)". Lineage: Eukaryota; Viridiplantae; Streptophyta; Magnoliopsida; Poales; Bromeliaceae. The record is from RNAcentral.
UUUUGAACGGUUCAACUAUUCUGGAACCAAUGGCGCUGAUGGAUUUUAGGUUUGAUGCACGGUUUUCGAGAAACUGGGAGUUUAUUGGAUUUACACUUAUAUUUAGGUGUGGUUUUGGAAAGUUGGAGAGAGGUUGGUUUUUGUCGGAAAUUCAUGACCAAACGAGGUGAAACAAAGUUGUGAGUUUGUUGUCUUUGUCGUGCUGAUCGCACUGGUGCGGCCCGUUCGUAAAUCUGACGGACGGAUCUUCUAAUAUCGCAUGUUGAUCGAGGAGGGGUCACUUAUGGCAAAACGGUAAUUUUGCGAAAA